RNAcentral lists this ribosomal RNA (466 nucleotides) under uncultured bacterium. Its description in RNAcentral is "partial 16S ribosomal RNA". It matches the Rfam family "Bacterial small subunit ribosomal RNA", at positions 28 to 507 of the family's 1533-position model. The record is from RNAcentral.
GAUGAACGCUGGCGGCGUGCUUAACACAUGCAAGUCGAACGGAAAGGCUCCUGCUUGCAGGGGUACUCGAGUGGCGAACGGGUGAGUAACACGUGGGUGAUCUGCCCUGCACUUCGGGAUAAGCCUGGGAAACUGGGUCUAAUACCGGAUAGGACGAUGGUUUGGAUGCCAUUGUGGAAAGUUUUUUCGGUGUGGGAUGAGCUCGCGGCCUAUCAGCUUGUUGGUGGGGUAAUGGCCUACCAAGGCGUCGACGGGUAGCCGGCCUGAGAGGGUGUACGGCCACAUUGGGACUGAGAUACGGCCCAGACUCCGACGGGAGGCAGCAGUGGGGAAUAUUGCACAAUGGGCGCAAGCCUGAUGCAGCGACGCCGCGUGGGGGAUGACGGCCUUCGGGUUGUAAACUCCUUUCGCUAGGGACGAAGCGCAAGUGACGGUACCUGGAGAAGAAGCACCGGCUAACUACGUG